CAGACGUACACAAGACUUCAUUCUUCACUGGCCUGUUAACUCCUGGAGGAUCCUCUCACAGGUAGAACAGUUCAUGGAGUUUAUCCUGUUUGAGAACAACUUCUUCUAACACUUGAACAUGAAAGUAACUGAUCCUCUUAUAUUCAC
RNAcentral lists this long non-coding RNA (147 nucleotides) under Ictidomys tridecemlineatus (thirteen-lined ground squirrel). RNAcentral's name for it is "lncRNA (ENSSTOG00000032535.1)". The record is from RNAcentral. Lineage: Eukaryota; Metazoa; Chordata; Mammalia; Rodentia; Sciuridae.